RNAcentral lists this ribosomal RNA (253 nucleotides) under uncultured bacterium. Its description in RNAcentral is "partial 16S ribosomal RNA". It matches the Rfam family "Bacterial small subunit ribosomal RNA", at positions 524 to 776 of the family's 1533-position model. The record is from RNAcentral.
UACGAAGGGGGCUAGCGUUGUUCGGAAUUACUGGGCGUAAAGGGCGCGUAGGCGGUCCUGAUCGUCGGAUGUGAAAGGCCUGGGCUCAACCUGGGAAUGGCAUCCGAUACGGCGGGACUGGAGUGUGGGAGAGGUUGGUGGAAUUCCCAGUGUAGAGGUGAAAUUCGUAGAUAUUGGGAAGAACACCAGUGGCGAAGGCGGCUCACUGGCCCGAUACUGACGCUGAGGCACGAAAGCGUGGGGAGCAAACAGG